This 74-nucleotide transfer RNA is filed under the name Sulfitobacter mediterraneus. RNAcentral describes it as "tRNA-Trp". It matches the Rfam family "tRNA". From Rfam's summary of the family: Transfer RNA (tRNA) molecules are approximately 80 nucleotides in length. Their secondary structure includes four short double-helical elements and three loops (D, anti-codon, and T loops). Further hydrogen bonds mediate the characteristic L-shaped molecular structure. tRNAs have two regions of fundamental functional importance: the anti-codon, which is responsible for specific mRNA codon recognition, and the 3' end, to which the tRNAs corresponding amino acid is attached (by aminoacyl-tRNA synthetases). tRNAs cope with the degeneracy of the genetic code in two manners: having more than one tRNA (with a specific anti-codon) for a particular amino acid; and 'wobble' base-pairing, i.e. permitting non-standard base-pairing at the 3rd anti-codon position. The record is from RNAcentral. Lineage: Bacteria; Pseudomonadati; Pseudomonadota; Alphaproteobacteria; Rhodobacterales; Roseobacteraceae.
GUGGGUGUAGUGUAGCGGUAACACGUCAGUCUCCAAAACUGAAAUCUCUGGUUCGAUCCCAGACACCUAUGCCA